RNAcentral lists this ribosomal RNA (621 nucleotides) under Methanosalsum zhilinae. RNAcentral describes it as "bacterial SSU rRNA". It matches the Rfam family "Archaeal small subunit ribosomal RNA", at positions 5 to 625 of the family's 1478-position model. Lineage: Archaea; Methanobacteriati; Methanobacteriota; Methanomicrobia; Methanosarcinales; Methanosarcinaceae. The record is from RNAcentral.
CGGUUGAUCCUGCCAGAGGUCACUGCUAUCGGUGUUCGACUAAGCCAUGCAAGUUAUAUGUUCUUCGUGAACAUGGCGAACUGCUCAGUAACACGUGGAUAACCUGCCCUUGGGACCGGCAUAACCCCGGGAAACUGGGGAUAAUUCCGGAUAUGCCAUGAUAGCUGGAAUGCUUCGUGGUUCAAAAGGAUUCGUCUGCCCAAGGAUGGGUCUGCGGCCUAUCAGGUAGUAGCGGGUGCAAGGUACCUGCUAGCCGACGACGGGUACGGGUUGUGAGAGCAAGAGCCCGGAGAUGGAUUCUGAGACAUGAAUCCAGGCCCUACGGGGCGCAGCAGGCGCGAAAACUUUACAAUGCGGGAAACCGCGAUAAGGGGACACCGAGUGCCAGCAUACAAUGCUGGCUGUCCGCAUGUGUAAACGGCAUGCGUUAGCAAGGGCCGGGCAAGACCGGUGCCAGCCGCCGCGGUAACACCGGCGGCCCGAGUGGUGAUCACUAUUAUUGGGUCUAAAGGGUCCGUAGCCGGUUUGAUCAGUCCUCUGGGAAAUCUGACAGCUCAACUGUUAGGCUUCCAGGGGAUACUGUCAGACUUGGGACCGGGAGAGGUAAGAGGUACCACAGGG